Molecule: ribosomal RNA, 259 nt
Filed under: uncultured Actinomycetales bacterium
Lineage: Bacteria; Bacillati; Actinomycetota; Actinomycetes; Actinomycetales
Description: partial 16S ribosomal RNA
Rfam family: Bacterial small subunit ribosomal RNA
Source: RNAcentral
UGUGCCAGCAGCCGCGGUAAUACGUAGGGUGCGAGCGUUGUCCGGAAUUAUUGGGCGUAAAGAGCUUGUAGGCGGUUUGUCGCGUCUGCUGUGAAAGCCCGGGGCUUAACCCCGGGUCUGCAGUGGGUACGGGCAGGCUAGAGUGUGGUAGGGGAGACUGGAAUUCCUGGUGUAGCGGUGGAAUGCGCAGAUAUCAGGAGGAACACCGAUGGCGAAGGCAGGUCUCUGGGCCACUACUGACGCUGAGAAGCGAAAGCGU